This is a long non-coding RNA of Dendroctonus ponderosae (mountain pine beetle), 455 nucleotides long. RefSeq lists it as uncharacterized. The record is from RefSeq and is a predicted model, not a curated record. The transcript is spliced from 2 exons. Lineage: Eukaryota; Metazoa; Arthropoda; Insecta; Coleoptera; Curculionidae.
UCUGACCAAUCAAAAUUGAGAAAAUUUUGACGGUGUGACAUGCUCGCCAACGUCAGUUAUUUACUAUUGUGGCGGAACUCGUACUAACCUUUGGUUUUAAAAGAAACAGAUAUCUAAGAAUCAUGUAUUUGUCUUUAUCUAAGCUAAGAAACGGUCGUUUAUUACCUCGUUUUCUGCUGGUACGUAUUUGUUUCCAAACGGAUUAUAGAUACUUAUUAAAAAUUAGUUUUUGUUUUUUUAAGCAUGGUUCAUUGCUUCUGUGCCCUAUUGAGGAAAAAUGGAAUAGCACAAUGGAAUCCAUUGCAAAUUGCGAAAAAUCAAGGCUGCUAUCGCUCAAGCAAAAGGAAUCCCUGAUAGAAUUUGUCCACAGCAAGUCCCAAAUGACAAGGCUUAUUCUCGUGUAGAAUUCUUAACGAAUGUAUAUUUAAUGAACAAUAAAACACCAUCUCCACCAA